Molecule: ribosomal RNA, 499 nt
Filed under: uncultured bacterium
Lineage: Bacteria
Description: bacterial SSU rRNA
Rfam family: Bacterial small subunit ribosomal RNA
Source: RNAcentral
CGGACGAACGCUGGGCGGCGUGCCUAACACAUGCAAGUCGAACGGUCCGGCACUCAACCGACCCUCAGUCUAACUGUAGGGGAAGUUGAGUGCCGGGUAGUGGCGGACGGGUGAGUAACGCGUGGGCAACCAACCCUGUACAGUGGGAUAACACCGGGAAACCGGUGCUAAUACCGCAUGACACCUAUAUGGUGCAUACCGUAUAGGUUAAAGGAUUUAACCGGUACAGGACGGGCCCGCGUCCCAUUAGCUAGUUGGUGAGGUAACGGCCCACCAAGGCGACGAUGGGUAGCCGACCUGAGAGGGUGACCGGCCACACUGGGACUGAGACACGGCCCAGACUCCUACGGGAGGCAGCAGUGGGGAAUAUUGCGCAAUGGGGGGAACCCGUGACGCAGCGACGCCGCGUGAGCGACGAAGGCCUUCGGGUCGUAAAGCUCUGUUCUUGGGGACGAAGGAAAUGACGGUACCCAAGGAGAAAGCCCCGGCUAACUACGUG